Molecule: long non-coding RNA, 1031 nt
Organism: Felis catus (domestic cat)
Lineage: Eukaryota; Metazoa; Chordata; Mammalia; Carnivora; Felidae
Exons: 3
Source: RefSeq, a predicted model, not a curated record
AAAGUAUUAGGAAUAACUUCCUAAUGUCGAGGGUGUGAAAGUCUGGGCUGCCGAGGAAUCCCCCUCUCUUGAGAUUCUUUAAAAAUUGGAUACUUAAUCAGCUCUAAGGCAGAUCAAGACCAGGACAACGCCUCACGUUCAAGUAACAGGCAGUUUGUACAGGAUCGCAAAUUUGCACAUCACCGCUCAGUUUUUUAAGGAAAACGUAGCGUCUUUGUUCCCUCUGCACUUGCUUUGUUUCACCAAAACUGGUUUCGGCCAGCUGAAGCUGUAAAAGAAUCAUGACCUUCAGCAACCUCCCCACCAUCACCACGAGUAAAAAGAGCUGAUAAACAACCAAGAACUCUGGGUGACCCCGGUUCAUCAGACCUCACUGGACCCAGCUGAGGGCUCUUUCCUGCCCAAGGAACAACAGGACUUGUUUUAACCAACCAUGUACAGACUAAUGGAUGCACCUGACUUUGCAGAGCACAAACUUUCAAUCAUGAAUUAGCAAACCUAGCAUGACGGCCUCCCUUUCUAGUGCAUAAACCCCCCUGACUUACCCUCGGAAAAGUAGUCCCUUGCUGGGUAUCCCUCUGCCCAGGAAGUAACUCAGCUCAGUGCUUGCUCUGUUGAUGCUUUACUCCUGGCUUUCCAUGGAUAACGCCAACGGGAGGAGGAAGUGAGCACACCAGCAUCUGCUGUCUCUGCCUUCCUCUUCAGCCCUCACUCUCCUCCUCUCAAGAGCUUCUUUUUAUGGGGUAGGACUUCCCUGAAGCCCUUGUUCCCAGGGGCACUAAGCCACAGGCUCUGGCAUUGGUGGCAGAUAGGUGCGUGAAGAAAAACUCAGUAAUAAGGACACUGAAUGAAAAGUAGUUUUAAGUUCCUGUUCCAUUACCUAUAUCAUGAAUGAAAAACUGACCGUUUAGGUGCACCCGGGUGGCUCAGUCGGUUAAGUGUCCAAGUUCAGCUCAGGUCAUGAUCUCACGGUUUGUGAGUUCGAGCCCCGCGUCGGGCUCUGUGCUGACGGCUCAGAGCCUGGAGCCUCC